Molecule: ribosomal RNA, 774 nt
Filed under: uncultured Neocallimastigales
Lineage: Eukaryota; Fungi; Neocallimastigomycota; Neocallimastigomycetes; Neocallimastigales
Description: partial large subunit ribosomal RNA
Rfam family: Eukaryotic large subunit ribosomal RNA
Source: RNAcentral
CGUCUAUAUACGUAUAGCAUAUCAAUAAGCGGAGGAAAAGAAACUAACUAGGAUUCCCUCAGUAACGGCGAGUGAAGCGGGAAGAGCUCAAAUUUGAAAUCUUCAAGGUUUUACCUUGACGAAUUGUAGUUUAAAGAAGUGUUUUCUGUUGGAGUUUUGGUAAAAGUUCUUUGGAAUAGGACAUCAUAGAGGGUGAGAAUCCCGUAUUUGACCAUUAUUUCCAACUUUGUGAUACACUUUCAAAGAGUCGGAUUGUUUGGGAAUGCAGUCCAAAAUGGGUGGUAAAUUUCAUCUAAAGCUAAAUAUUGGCGAGAGACCGAUAGCGAACAAGUACCGUGAGGGAAAGAUGAAAAGAACUUUGAAAAGAGAGUUAAACAGUACGUGAAAUUGUCAAAAGGGAAGCGUUUGACACCAGUGUUGUUUUCUCGAAAAUCAAUUAAAAAUGGCGGGAUUUUGUGUUGUAUUGACUUUAUCAGCUUUCUGCACUUUUUUCUUGUCUUUUUUAAUGCACUUUUCGUUUAACAAGUCAACAUCAAUUUCUUUUGUUGUAAAAGGGUCAUUGGAAGGUGGCUUUCUUUUCGGAGAAAGUGUUUAUAGCCUUUGACUUCUGCAAUCGGAGAGAUUGAGGUCUGCAGCGUAGAUCCUUCGGGGUUAGAUACAUUUGUGCUAAGUUAUAGCCUUUCAUAGACAACUUGUUGACUAUGAUCAGUCAUGUAGCUUACUCGCUUAUGUCAUUUUACCUACGCUUAGGAUGUUGACGAUCAGCUGAGCGCG